GCCAGGUGUGGUGGCGUACACCUAUAAUCCCAGCAGCUCGGGAGGCUGAGGCAGGAGGAUCGUGAGUUCAAAGCCAGCCUCAGCAAUUUAGGGAGCCCCUAAGCAACUCAGGGAGACCCUGUCUCUA
This 127-nucleotide small RNA is filed under the name Marmota monax (woodchuck). Lineage: Eukaryota; Metazoa; Chordata; Mammalia; Rodentia; Sciuridae. The record is from RNAcentral.